Molecule: ribosomal RNA, 549 nt
Filed under: uncultured bacterium
Lineage: Bacteria
Description: bacterial SSU rRNA
Rfam family: Bacterial small subunit ribosomal RNA
Source: RNAcentral
UAGGGAAUCUUCGGCAAUGGGGGCAACCCUGACCGAGCAACGCCGCGUGAGUGAAGAAGGUUUUCGGAUCGUAAAGCUCUGUUGUAAGUCAAGAACGAGUGUGAGAGUGGAAAGUUCACACUGUGACGGUAGCUUACCAGAAAGGGACGGCUAACUACGUGCCAGCAGCCGCGGUAAUACGUAGGUCCCGAGCGUUGUCCGGAUUUAUUGGGCGUAAAGCGAGCGCAGGCGGUUUGAUAAGUCUGAAGUUAAAGGCUGUGGCUCAACCAUAGUUCGCUUUGGAAACUGUCAAACUUGAGUGCAGAAGGGGAGAGUGGAAUUCCAUGUGUAGCGGUGAAAUGCGUAGAUAUAUGGAGGAACACCGGUGGCGAAAGCGGCUCUCUGGUCUGUAACUGACGCUGAGGCUCGAAAGCGUGGGGAGCGAACAGGAUUAGAUACCCUGGUAGUCCACGCCGUAAACGAUGAGUGCUGGGUGUUGGAUCCUUUCCGGGAUUCAGUGCCGCAGCUAACGCAUUAAGCACUCCGCCUGGGGAGUACGACCGCAAGGUU